This 253-nucleotide ribosomal RNA is filed under the name uncultured bacterium. Its description in RNAcentral is "partial 16S ribosomal RNA". It matches the Rfam family "Bacterial small subunit ribosomal RNA", at positions 524 to 776 of the family's 1533-position model. The record is from RNAcentral.
UACGUAGGGCGCGAGCGUUGUCCGGAUUUAUUGGGCGUAAAGGGCUCGUAGGCGGUCUGUUGCGUCGGGAGUGAAAACUUACAGCUUAACUGUGAGCGUGCUUCCGAUACGGGCAGACUUGAGGUAUUCAGGGGAGAACGGAAUUCCUGGUGUAGCGGUGAGAUGCGCAGAUAUCAGGAGGAACACCGGUGGCGAAGGCGGUUCUCUGGGAAUAUCCUGACGCUGAGGAGCGAAAGUGUGGGGAGCGAACAGG